Molecule: ribosomal RNA, 253 nt
Filed under: uncultured bacterium
Lineage: Bacteria
Description: partial 16S ribosomal RNA
Rfam family: Bacterial small subunit ribosomal RNA
Source: RNAcentral
GACGAACCGUCCAAACGUUAUUCGGAAUCAUUGGGCUUAAAGGGUGCGUAGGCGGUGCGGUAAGUUGGGUGUGAAAUCCCUCGGCUCAACCGAGGAAUGGCGCCCAAAACUGUCGUACUCGAGGGAGACAGGGGUAAGCGGAACUGAUGGUGGAGCGGUGAAAUGCGUUGAUAUCAUCAGGAACACCAGUGGCGAAAGCGGCUUACUGGGUCUCUUCUGACGCUGAGGCACGAAAGCUAGGGGAGCAAACGGG